This 382-nucleotide RNase P RNA is filed under the name Magnetococcales bacterium. RNAcentral's name for it is "RNase P RNA component class A". It matches the Rfam family "Bacterial RNase P class A". Rfam says of the family: Ribonuclease P (RNase P) is a ubiquitous endoribonuclease, found in archaea, bacteria and eukarya as well as chloroplasts and mitochondria. Its best characterised activity is the generation of mature 5'-ends of tRNAs by cleaving the 5'-leader elements of precursor-tRNAs. Lineage: Bacteria; Pseudomonadati; Pseudomonadota; Magnetococcia; Magnetococcales. The record is from RNAcentral.
UGAGUGGGCCAGGUGGCCGCUGGUUGACGGGUGCUUGCAUCCGGUCAACUGGAGGAAAGUCCGGGCUCCGCAGGGCAAGACGCCGGGUAACGCCCGGCGGGGGCAACCCUAGGGAAAGUGCCACAGAAAGCAAACCGCCGGAACAGAAUCUCUUCCGGUAAGGGUGAAAGGGUGCGGUAAGAGCGCACCGCGUUUUCCGGUAACGGAGACGGCACGGCAAACCCCGUCUGGAGCAAGACCAAAUAGGGAAACGUUCAGGGCGGCUCCGUCCAGUUUCCGGGUAGGUCGCUUGAGGUGUCUGGCAACAGCCAUCCUAGAUGAAUGGUCACCCCUCGACCCCAUGGGUUGAGGACAGAACCCGGCUUAUCGGCCCACUCUUUUU